GACGAACGCUGGCGGCGUGCCUAAUACAUGCAAGUCGAGCGAGCUUGCCUAGAUGAUUUUAGUGCUUGCACUAAAUGAAACUAGAUACAAGCGAGCGGCGGACGGGUGAGUAACACGUGGGUAACCUGCCCAAGAGACUGGGAUAACACCUGGAAACAGAUGCUAAUACCGGAUAACAACACUAGACGCAUGUCUAGAGUUUGAAAGAUGGUUCUGCUAUCACUCUUGGAUGGACCUGCGGUGCAUUAGCUAGUUGGUAAGGUAACGGCUUACCAAGGCAAUGAUGCAUAGCCGAGUUGAGAGACUGAUCGGCCACAUUGGGACUGAGACACGGCCCAAACUCCUACGGGAGGCAGCAGUAGGGAAUCUUCCACAAUGGACGAAAGUCUGAUGGAGCAACGCCGCGUGAGUGAAGAAGGGUUUCGGCUCGUAAAGCUCUGUUGGUAGUGAAGAAAGAUAGAGGUAGUAACUGGCCUUUAUUUGACGGUAAUUACUUAGAAAGUCACGGCUAACUACGUGCCAGCAGCCGCGGUAAUACGUAGGUGGCAAGCGUUGUCCGGAUUUAUUGGGCGUAAAGCGAGUGCAGGCGGUUCAAUAAGUCUGAUGUGAAAGCCUUCGGCUCAACCGGAGAAUUGCAUCAGAAACUGUUGAACUUGAGUGCAGAAGAGGAGAGUGGAACUCCAUGUGUAGCGGUGGAAUGCGUAGAUAUAUGGAAGAACACCAGUGGCGAAGGCGGCUCUCUGGUCUGCAACUGACGCUGAGGCUCGAAAGCAUGGGUAG
This 780-nucleotide ribosomal RNA is filed under the name uncultured bacterium. RNAcentral's name for it is "bacterial SSU rRNA". It matches the Rfam family "Bacterial small subunit ribosomal RNA", at positions 28 to 768 of the family's 1533-position model. The record is from RNAcentral.